RNAcentral lists this unclassified non-coding RNA (343 nucleotides) under soil metagenome. RNAcentral describes it as "partial contains 5.8S ribosomal RNA, internal transcribed spacer 2, and large subunit ribosomal RNA". The stretch from base 1 to 120 matches the Rfam family "5.8S ribosomal RNA", at positions 35 to 154 of the family's 154-position model. The record is from RNAcentral.
GAUGAAGAACGCAGCGAAAUGCGAUAAGUAAUGUGAAUUGCAGAAUCCAGUGAAUCAUCGAAUCUUUGAACGCACAUUGCGCCCGCCAGCAUUCUGGCGGGCAUGCCUGUUCGAGCGUCAUUUCAACCCUCGUCCUCCCCUUGGGGAGGUCGGCGUUGGGGACCGGCAGCACACCGCCGGCCCUGAAAUGGAGUGGCGGCCCGUCUGCGGCGACCUCUGCGUAGUAAUACAGCUCGCACCGGAACCCCGACGCGGCCACGCCGUAAAACACCCAACUUCUGAACGUUGACCUCGAAUCAGGUAGGACUACCCGCUGAACUUAAGCAUAUCAAUAAGCGGAGGA